This is a long non-coding RNA of Belonocnema kinseyi, 677 nucleotides long. RefSeq lists it as uncharacterized. Lineage: Eukaryota; Metazoa; Arthropoda; Insecta; Hymenoptera; Cynipidae. The transcript has 3 exons. The record is from RefSeq and is a predicted model, not a curated record.
UCCGCACUAUCAUGGAUAUUGUACAUCCGAGAAAACCUCCAUGGAGUGAUUUUUUUAGGAUUUUCGUGAUUUUUAUAAAUUAUUCCUUUUUUAUUUUUAAAGUGCAUGGAAUGCAGUCGCGUCAUCAGUCAGAGUUCCUGUUUGUCAAAGCUUCGUGAAUAGCAAGAGUACCGUGAAAGUGGAGCAACUUCUGAAAAGCAACGAGGCACUAAGUGAGAUGAAAAUGCUGUCACGAGUGUUGGUCGAGGGUGUGUCUUUUUCCGCUUUGCUGCCGCUGCGAUAGAGUUCGCCAGCAAAGGGGAACAGGCCGAUCCUCCCACAUUGUCAAAAUUUGAAAAAUUCACCAAAAAGGCACAAAAGUGGAAGCAGCCAAGGUAAUCCACAGAUGUUUGAUAGGGAAUUAAAAAAAUAAAGAGGGUACUUUUAAAUUUUGGGAACCGCCAAUAGUAACUCUCUCACGUGCUAUUUUGUCAGUAAGAUUAUGGUUUCAUUAUAAAUUGCUUAAUAAACUUAACAAACAAUUCAUUUCUUUGUAUGAUUUAUUCUCUAUGUUUUAAUUUUAUGAGUGAAUACUUGAACCUCUCGGUUAUCCGACCUGUUAAUCCAGCGUAAUCCACGUAAUCUAGUGUAAAAUGGAAGAAUGCACUUGUAAUCCAGUGCAAUUUAUAUUCGUCCAC